UGCGAUGAUGGUGUAAUUUGCGGCUUACCGUGUAUUCAGCGACAGCCUGCUGUCAUGAAGCGGAUACCACGGGCUGACGAGAGAUGAGUCUGAGCA
Small nucleolar RNA from Pseudophryne corroboree (corroboree frog), 96 nucleotides. RefSeq annotates it as small nucleolar RNA SNORD16. The transcript has a single exon. NCBI's taxonomy places the organism in Eukaryota, Metazoa, Chordata, Amphibia, Anura, Myobatrachidae. The record is from RefSeq and is a predicted model, not a curated record.